This 225-nucleotide unclassified non-coding RNA is filed under the name Pucciniomycotina sp. RNAcentral describes it as "partial internal transcribed spacer region". The stretch from base 1 to 46 matches the Rfam family "Eukaryotic small subunit ribosomal RNA", at positions 1786 to 1831 of the family's 1831-position model. The record is from RNAcentral. Lineage: Eukaryota; Fungi; Basidiomycota.
AAGUCGUAACAAGGUUUCCGUAGGUGAACCUGCGGAAGGAUCAUUAGUGAAUAAUAGGGUGUCUAAUUUAACUUAGAACCCGACCUUCUCACAUCUAACCCUGUGCAUCUGUAUUUAAUGGCGAGCAAUCUUCGGAUUGUGAGCCUUCACUUUAUAAACACUAGUCUAUGAAUGUAUUUAAUUUAUAACAAAUAAAAACUUUCAACAACGGAUCUCUUGGCUCUC